GCCGGGGUGCUGGAAUUGGUAGACAGGCUACGUUGAGGACGUAGUGCAGGUAACUGCGUGCAGGUUCAAGUCCUGUCCUCGGCA
RNAcentral lists this transfer RNA (84 nucleotides) under Candidatus Woesebacteria bacterium. Its description in RNAcentral is "tRNA-Leu". It matches the Rfam family "tRNA". Rfam says of the family: Transfer RNA (tRNA) molecules are approximately 80 nucleotides in length. Their secondary structure includes four short double-helical elements and three loops (D, anti-codon, and T loops). Lineage: Bacteria; Candidatus Woeseibacteriota. The record is from RNAcentral.